This 484-nucleotide ribosomal RNA is filed under the name uncultured bacterium. RNAcentral describes it as "partial 16S ribosomal RNA". It matches the Rfam family "Bacterial small subunit ribosomal RNA", at positions 30 to 507 of the family's 1533-position model. The record is from RNAcentral.
AUUGAACGCUGGCGGCAGGCCUAACACAUGCAAGUCGAGCGGAUGAAGGGAGCUUGCUCCUGGAUUCAGCGGCGGACGGGUGAGUAAUGCCUAGGAAUCUGCCUGGUAGUGGGGGAUAACGUCCGGAAACGGGCGCUAAUACCGCAUACGUCCUGAGGGAGAAAGUGGGGGAUCUUCGUACCUCACGCUAUCAGAUGAGCCUAGGUCGGAUUAGCUAGUUGGUGGGGUAAAGGCCUACCAAGGCGACGAUCCGUAACUGGUCUGAGAGGAUGAUCAGUCACACUGGAACUGAGACACGGUCCAGACUCCUACGGGAGGCAGCAGUGGGGAAUAUUGGACAAUGGGCGAAAGCCGGAACCAGACAUGCCGCGUGUGUGAAGAAGGUCUUCGGAUUGUAAAGCACUUUAAGUUGGGAGGAAGGGCAGUAAGUUAAUACCUUGCUGUUUUGACGUUACCAACAGAAUAAGCACCGGCUAACUUCGUG